UAAUACGGAGGGUGCAAGCGUUAAUCGGAAUUACUGGGCGUAAAGCGCACGCAGGCGGUUUGUUAAGUCAGAUGUGAAAUCCCCGGGCUCAACCUGGGAACUGCAUUUGAAACUGGCAAGCUAGAGUCUCGUAGAGGGGGGUAGAAUUCCAGGUGUAGCGGUGAAAUGCGUAGAGAUCUGGAGGAAUACCGGUGGCGAAGGCGGCCCCCUGGACGAAGACUGACGCUCAGGUGCGAAAGGCGUGGGGAGCAAACAGGAUUAGAUACCCUGGUAGUCCACGCUGUAAACGAUGUCGAUUUGGAGGUUGUGCCCUUGAGGCGUGGCUUCCGGAGCUAACGCGUUAAAUCGACCGCCUGGGGAGUACGGCCGCAAAGGUUA
Molecule: ribosomal RNA, 378 nt
Filed under: uncultured Serratia sp.
Lineage: Bacteria; Pseudomonadati; Pseudomonadota; Gammaproteobacteria; Enterobacterales; Yersiniaceae
Description: bacterial SSU rRNA
Rfam family: Bacterial small subunit ribosomal RNA
Source: RNAcentral